AUUGAACGCUGGCGGCAUGCCUUACACAUGCAAGUCGAACGGCAUCGCGGGAAAGCUUGCUUUCCUGGCGGCGAGUGGCGAACGGGUGAGUAACACAUCGGAACGUACCGGCUAGUGGGGGAUAACCCGUCGAAAGACGGGCUAAUACCGCAUACGCUCUUCGGAGGAAAGCAGGGGACCUUUGGGCCUUGCACUAGCCGAGCGGCCGAUGUCCGAUUAGCUAGUUGGUGGGGUAAAGGCCUACCAAGGCGACGAUCGGUAGCGGGCCUGAGAGGACGAUCCGCCACACUGGGACUGAGACACGGCCCAGACUCCUACGGGAGGCAGCAGUGGGGAAUCUUGGACAAUGGGGGCAACCCUGAUCCAGCAAUGCCGCGUGGGUGAAGAAGGCCUUCGGGUUGUAAAGCCCUUUCGGCAGGGAAGAAAUCGGCGGGGCGAAUAACCCUGCUGGAUGACGGUACCUGCAGAAGAAGCACCGGCUAACUACGUG
RNAcentral lists this ribosomal RNA (490 nucleotides) under uncultured bacterium. Its description in RNAcentral is "partial 16S ribosomal RNA". It matches the Rfam family "Bacterial small subunit ribosomal RNA", at positions 29 to 507 of the family's 1533-position model. The record is from RNAcentral.